GCAGCAGUGAGGAAUAUUGGACAAUGGGCGCAAGCCUGAUCCAGCCAUGCCGCGUGCAGGAUGACGGUCCUAUGGAUUGUAAACUGCUUUUGCACAGGAAGAAACAACAUUACGAGUAAUGUCUUGACGGUACUGUGAGAAUAAGGAUCGGCUAACUCCGUGCCAGCAGCCGCGGUAAUACGGAGGAUCCAAGCGUUAUCCGGAAUCAUUGGGUUUAAAGGGUCCGUAGGCGGUUUAGUAAGUCAGUGGUGAAAUCCCAUCGCUCAACGGUGGAACGGCCAUUGAUACUGCUAGACUUGAAUUAUUAGGAAGUAACUAGAAUAUGUAGUGUAGCGGUGAAAUGCUUAGAGAUUACAUGGAAUACCAAUUGCGAAGGCAGGUUACUACUAAUUGAUUGACGCUGAUGGACGAAAGCGUGGGUAGCGAACAGGAUUAGAUACCCUUGUAGUC
RNAcentral lists this ribosomal RNA (450 nucleotides) under Lysinibacillus fusiformis. Its description in RNAcentral is "bacterial SSU rRNA". It matches the Rfam family "Bacterial small subunit ribosomal RNA", at positions 348 to 795 of the family's 1533-position model. Lineage: Bacteria; Bacillati; Bacillota; Bacilli; Caryophanales; Bacillaceae. The record is from RNAcentral.